UCUCUGUGUCUGUAAAUAAAAGGAAAGAGGCAUCACUAUCAUUGCCUGCCUCUUUCUCUCUCUCUCUUUGUUUCUUUUUCGUAUGUAAUCCAUCUAUCUACAUUUGGAUUCACCCACCCACACCCCCCUUGUGUCUGAUCAGAUGCCCUUUUCUUUCUUUUUCUCCAAACUAAUUUUAUGAUGAUGAUGUCUGUGAUUGUCACUGUGACUGUGCAUGUCAUAGAACAAGAAGAUGGAGCAGCCGCAGCAGCUUCUACACUUAUCGGUGUUCCCGCUGCAACUUCAACCUUCACACCACAUGUGCUUCCUUAUCGCCCACCAUGGAAUCUGAAGUUCUAAAUAAUGAAAAAUGCAACGGAUUGCAAUUAUCCUGCACAUACCAAAUGUAUUCUUGGGGAAGAUCCAAAUGACAAGUAACACAUAUAAUGGCCACCAGUUUGGAGGUGCUAACACAUUGACCAUCACCCACACCCUCUUACUUUCAUUGAGGAGAUAAAAGGCUACACUUGAUGUGAUAGUUCUUGCGAAGAGUUGAUCUACCAAUGUGCCCAAUAUAAUUUCCACAUGCACUAUUUUUAUUUAUAGAAAAGACAAAUGUUGUUUUAAUUUUUAUUCUAUACUAUACUUACUUAGUCCACAAAAUUUUUGGUGUGUGAAAUUGGCCAAAUAACAAUGCAGCUAUUCUUUUUAAUGCUCUUUUUUUGAGAUCAAUGUUUAGAUAGGACAUAAAUACAUUAUACCAACUCACGGUUCUCUGCAUCUAGUUGUACCCUACCUUAGUUCAUCAUUAUCAAAUUGAAUGUUUUAUUAUGACAACCCAUUAGUGUAGUUUAUAGGGGAGCUUUUAUUUAUUUUAUAUCCAUUUGAUUUUAAGCUUAUUAGGAUUGUUGUUUCUUACCUCCCAAAUGGCCAAAACAAUUAACGUGUUGUCACAUUUAUUAAAGUUAGAUUUCAAUCCCACAAGUAACUUGAACCUACCAACAAUCUUGAUGUUGGCAAUAACCCUAAGGUGAGUUUUUUCUCUAUUUGUUUUAGUAUGUUUGGCAAUAAUCCUAAACUUUUGAGUUGGUUGUUGGUGUGUAUGUAUGUUUAGGUGUUGGGAAAUUGGUCAGUUGCCGAUGAUGUAACCAUUUUGGAGCUAUGGGUGGUGGUUUUUGGGGUGUAUCUCACCUUUUUGACAAAAUGUCUUAGGAUCCUCAAGUCUUAAAUUGCAUCAAUUACAUAAUAUACAAGCAGCUUAGGCUCAUGAGUUUAAAAACGCUGCAUUUUAUUGGUAAGUCGUUGUAGUAAAUCUACUUGUUAUUUUGUUGCAACCAUAAUUAAUAGUUAUCCUAAAUACAAAUUCUUUGAAGGUAUAUGGAAUUUCCUAGAAGUAAUUGAUUGUAAAAUGUGAAGCUGGACUUUUCUUCUAAAAUAUAUCUACUACUUUGCUUAAAUAAUACCCAAUAUGCCAAAAAUAUCAACUUCAUUGCAUUCCAAGUAUGGAGAAAUCGUCUUACGUGGAGGGAAAAGUUAUGACCUUCAAAAUAGUCUAUGAGGGCAACUAUUCAGUCUUAGAGAAGGUAAGAAUCCACAAAAGCAGGUAGCCAAACCAAGAAAUUAUGGUUUUCCUCUGAUUUUUUAAUCAAUUAAGUCGUUUUCUUUUCGUUUACUUCUCUUAUGUGCUAUUAAUGUUCUUUUGGCAGUGGACCCAUUGGAGCAUAGGAGAUAUGAUGUCACCAUCCAGGAAAUUGCUCCUUCCCCCAUCUGUUGACCUGAUUAAUAUCGUAAAAGUUCAAUCUUAUAUUUCCUUUAAAAAAUAUACUUCAGAUUAUUGUGUAUAUUUCUGACAAUACAAGACUUUAAUAAAUCCCACUCUUGUCAGAAAUAUACACAAUAAUCUGAAGUAUAUUUUUUAAAGGAAAUAUUUUGUGAAAUUUCUACUGAAUGUGGGAAAUCCACAAUGGAAUUAUAAGUGUGUACUAUUUAUUCAUUUGAAUUGCAUACAGUUUUUAUAAAAAGCAUGUGGUGGCAACAGAUUUCUUUAACCUAAAAGGGUGAAAAGUUGUGAACAAUCUAUAAUGGUGAAAUUUCUAUAUAACUUUUUAUAUGAUUUAUUACAUAUGUAACUCAACAUUUCUUUUAUUGUUGCAAGUGAUGAAUUGCAUAUAUUUGUGUAAUCUUUUAGUUUUCCACUUUAUAACUGAUUAGUGAGCUUUAAAGAUGCCAAAGCUGAUUAAAAUUGAACUAGAAGAGCAACUCAUGGAUUCAUUUUAUAACCCUGUAUGUGGACAACAGUGAUGGGUCAUAGAUUGUCUAUUUCUAGUGAAGAUGUUGGCACUUACAAGAAGGGUGGGUUUUUCUUUGAUGGAGUGGUUUGAGAUGGAGGAGUUAGAUGGACAAUAAAGGCAGGGGAUAGAGUAUAUUUACUAUUGCUUGAAGGAAUGCUUUGAAGAAACAUAGAAAUCUUAUAUUGGAUCUGAUUAAUGUGGUUGAUUAACACAAGAAUAUGUGGUUAUUGUGGGUGAAGUAGGUGGCUAUUUGUACUAUUGGGUAUAUUGUGGAUGAAUCAAGAGAAUGAGGCAGAUUGUAAUGCUGGAUGAUGGGUUGAGGAUUCUUGAAGAAGGGAUUGUCAGGGCUAAGCAUAUUCUGAUUGGACACCCACCCAAGACAUUGUUCACUGGUGAAGGCUACAUGAAGUUCUAUAAGUAGCCCUUUUUAUAAUUUUAUUGGGUUUUCUUGGUUUCUUUUGUUGAGUAAUUUGUUGUAAUUUAUGAAUUUAUUUUUUUUAUGUAACUUAUGUUCAUGUAGUUUUUGGAGUAAAAUUAUAAUGGGUUCUCUAGUUUGCUUUGUUAAGUGAUUCAUUGUAAAGUACAAGUUAAUUUGUCAUGUUCGUUUAGUUUUUUUUGAGUACCCUUUUUGAAAAUUAUAAUGGGUUUUCUUGGUUUGUUUUAUUAAGUAAUCUGUUGUAGAGUUUGCAUGUAUUUUUUAUGUUUGUGUAUUUUUUUGAGUAUCCUUUUUGAUAACUAUAAUGAGUUGUCAUGGUUUGUUGUUAAUUUUUUAUGUACAUCCUUGUGUGCUUAUAGAUAUAGUCAUUACUUUUUUGUGAAAAUUUUAAUUCUUUCUUUUGGUUUUCUUUGUAAUUUAUUAUAUCUAUUCACAAAUGUAAAUUUAUUACAUUAAUGAAGUUCUUUAAGUAUCCUUUUCUUAAAUUAUGAUGCACUCUCUUGGUUUCUUGCUUGUUUGUCAAUUUUUCAUAUAUAUACGUGUGCGUGUUUGCACACAUUCUCAAUUAUAAUUAGGUUAUUACUAAUUGUGGGAUGAUUGAAGUAAAGAAUUAGCAUAAGUUGCUAGAACGAACAUGUAGAUUUUUUUUAGAAUGAAAACAGAAAGGUUUCUGUUUUAGCUCUUUCCAGUAAUAUAUUAAAUGUUAUAUAUUUGUCAAGCUGUGAUUUUGCAUUUUGUCACAUUAUCUUUCAUCUCCAUGAAGAGUUCUUCCUUCACUUGGUUGAUAGCUGUGUUAACACCAUGUGUGAUUAUUCAGGGCAGCUUUAUGAAAGAUACAAAAUGGCUUUGGAGGAGAGCAUUGUUUCAGUGGUGCUGCCAUCUCUAAAUGACAAACACAAUGCCUAUUUACUUAUAGAACUUCUGCAAAUGUGGAAAAAUUACAAGGUGAUGACAAAGCAUUUAUCAGGAUUUUUUAUGUACCUUGAUCAUCACUUUGUCAAUAGAAGAAGCAUUCCUUCACUCAAUGAUCUUGCAAUUCUUUGCUUCCACGAUCUUGUAAGCAUGCUCUUUCAUGCGUAAAAUAGCUUCCUUGAGUUUGCAUGGUUCUCUCACAUGCUUUUUCUAUUUUUACCUUCCUUUUUCAGGUUAAGAUUCACUAUAAGCUAAUUUUUACUUUCAUUUUGAGUUUCAAUUCUGCAGUAAGUUGUUUGGUGGCUUUAAAGAUGCUGCAAUUUCCCUAAUCAAGCAGGAGCGGAAUGGUAAACAGGUACAAGACUUGCUCAAGAAUGUCUUGAAUUUUUUUUUGGAAAUCGGAGAGGGGAAGAUAGACUACCAUAUAGCAUUUGAGCUGCUCAUGCUUGAAGAAGCAGCUAGUUACUACUCUCAAUUAGCUUUGGAGUUGCUUUGUUGCAUAUCAUAUGCAGAUUACAUUCAAAAGGUUGUGUGGUUCUUGAUUCAAGAGCAAGAAAAAGCUGGUCAGUACUUAAAGCAGGCCUCUCUAGAGAAGUUACUUGAGUUUGUGAAAUGGAAGUUGAUGGGUGAAACUGCACAAGUAUUGAUUCAAAAACAAAAGACUGAGAGCUGAGACACAGUAACUUAUCAGGAUCUUCUAUCAAAAUAUGCUGACAUGAGCCUUGGAGAGGGAAGUUCUGUGUUACCGUCAAAACAGUGGUCCAUGCAACAGUGAAAGUUCAUCUUUUAGUAAUUAGGAGGGGUAGUGAAACAAGAACACAAAUACACUGAUUUUUGUUAGCAAAUCAACCAAGAGUUAUUUAUGCUGGAAGUGAUAGUUUAAAAUGCUAUUUUGAAAUCAAAAGCCCAUAUGUGUGUAUAUGUAUGCAUCUUUCUUCUACUAUUGAGCAAUUUUGGUUGGGACUA
Molecule: RNA transcript, 4584 nt
Organism: Quercus robur (English oak)
Lineage: Eukaryota; Viridiplantae; Streptophyta; Magnoliopsida; Fagales; Fagaceae
Gene name: cullin-1-like
Exons: 7
Source: RefSeq, a predicted model, not a curated record